UACGGGGGGGGCAAGCGUUGUUCGGAAUUACUGGGCGUAAAGGGCGCGUAGGCGGCCUUCUAAGUCAGACGUGAAAUCCCUCGGCUCAACCGAGGAACUGCGUCUGAUACUGGAAGGCUUGAAUCCGGGAGAGGGAUGUGGAAUUCCAGGUGUAGCGGUGAAAUGCGCAGAUAUCAGGAGGAACACCGGUGGCGAAGGCGGGUCUCUGGGCCGAUACUGACGCUGAGGAGCGAAAGCGUGGGGAGCGAACAGG
This 253-nucleotide ribosomal RNA is filed under the name uncultured bacterium. RNAcentral's name for it is "partial 16S ribosomal RNA". It matches the Rfam family "Bacterial small subunit ribosomal RNA", at positions 524 to 776 of the family's 1533-position model. The record is from RNAcentral.